UCCGAUUUGUCACCGGCAGUCUCCUAUGAGUCCCCGUCUUUCACGCUGGCAACAUAGGACAGGGGUUGCGCUCGUUGCGGGACUUAACCCAACGUCUCACGACACGAGCUGACGACAGCCAUGCAGCACCUCUGCUGGUGACCGAUUUGACGGUUCGCCCCGACUUUCAUCAGGACUACUUCCAGUAGUUCAAGCCUAGG
This 200-nucleotide unclassified non-coding RNA is filed under the name uncultured bacterium. Its description in RNAcentral is "contains 16S-23S intergenic spacer region". The record is from RNAcentral.